GGAUUGUGUCUCAGUGGUAGAGUACUUGCCUAGCAUGUGUGAGGCACUGGGUUCAAGUCUCAGCACCA
This 68-nucleotide transfer RNA is filed under the name Marmota monax (woodchuck). Its description in RNAcentral is "tRNA.Ala". The record is from RNAcentral. Lineage: Eukaryota; Metazoa; Chordata; Mammalia; Rodentia; Sciuridae.